AGAGUUUGAUCAUGGCUCAGGACGAACGCUGGCGGCGUGCCUAAUACAUGCAAGUCGAGCGAAUCAUUAGGAGCUUGCUCCUGAUGGUUAGCGGCGGACGGGUGAGUAACACGUGGGCAACCUGCCUGUAAGACUGGGAUAACUUCGGGAAACCGGAGCUAAUACCGGAUAAUCCCUUCCCACACAUGAGGGAAAGCUGAAAGACGGUUUCGGCUGUCACUUACAGAUGGGCCCGCGGCGCAUUAGCUAGUUGGUGAGGUAACGGCUCACCAAGGCGACGAUGCGUAGCCGACCUGAGAGGGUGAUCGGCCACACUGGGACUGAGACACGGCCCAGACUCUUACGGGAGGCAGCAGUAGGGAAUCUUCCGCAAUGGACGAAAGUCUGACGGAGCAACGCCGCGUGAACGAUGAAGGCCUUCGGGUCGUAAAGUUCUGUUGUUAGGGAAGAACAAGUAUCGGAGUAACUGCCGGUACCUUGACGGUACCUAACCAGAAAGCCACGGCUAACUACGUGCCAGCAGCCGCGGUAAUACGUAGGUGGCAAGCGUUGUCCGGAAUUAUUGGGCGUAAAGCGCGCGCAGGCGGUUCCUUAAGUCUGAUGUGAAAGCCCCCGGCUCAACCGGGGAGGGUCAUUGGAAACUGGGGAACUUGAGUACUGA
RNAcentral lists this ribosomal RNA (661 nucleotides) under uncultured bacterium. RNAcentral describes it as "bacterial SSU rRNA". It matches the Rfam family "Bacterial small subunit ribosomal RNA", at positions 8 to 652 of the family's 1533-position model. The record is from RNAcentral.